CUCAGGGAGGCCAGCAGCCCGAGGGUGCCCCUGGAGCUACCGGAGCCUGCAGCUGGGGUCAGCCCUGCACAGGUGAGUCGGGAAGGAGGCAGCCGGGCAAAGUGAUAGUCGCCCCAGUGUCAUUCCAGAGGGCGGCGCAUCAGUCCAGGUCAGCCCUGGGAGGGGUAGGGUCAGGAAGCAGAGGUCAUGCCAAGGGACCUCGCCAUGGGCCAUUCUGGUGACACUGCUGCUCAUGCUUAGCCAUUCCUGCAGGUGGAGGUGGCUCAGGCUCCUGCCAGGGAAGGGCUGAUCAGACCUCACCCGGUGCCUUCCUCAGCCCGGCUCUGUCCUGCCCCUGCUAUAGCCAGCCAGGGGAGGCACACUUAGCAGAUCUGGAGGGGGAGGGAGAGUUCAUGUCUCAGGGUCACAGGCCCUGAGUUCUGUGGGGACAGUUCUGGGGCUCCCAGCCCACACGGAGCUGUGCUUGUCCUGGGAGGACAAUGGCUGAGGAUGUCCUGGGCUAUAGCUGGUGGGAACACAUGGCCUGGCAAGCAGUGACCAAGAGAAGAGAGCGGGAUUUCUGGUAAGAGGGUCGGUGCCUCCCCCGGAGGAGCCACUGAGCCCAGAGAGCUGAGGAAGACACUGGGACCUUGCCCGGUGCUGCGUGCUGUGUGGGCCACCAGGAAGGAGCUCAGACCAAAAUGCCAGUGCCCAGGGGCUGCUGGCCAGAGCACUCUGGGUUGGGGUCUGGGCAGUGGUACGUGCCGACCACAGAGCUGAUCUGAGGUUCUUGGGCUUGGUGCCACUGCCAGGGCCUUCUGGCAAGGGUGGUCCAACUUCAGUGGGAGGGAGGUUCAGUGUGUGGGCCUGGCACUUGCUCCCCAGAAAAGGGGUGCAUGUGAUUCAGGAGGGCCAGGCAUCAGCAUCUUGGGAUCCAGCAGACUCCAGCUGCUGCUGCCUGGGCAGUGCCCCCAUCCAUACAGCCGCCUCAGGCUGAGCCCUGCACCCUCCAGGUCCCUGCAGGUGGCGAGAGGCAGGGUGCAGGCCCCCUGCUGCUCCAGGAGCCACUGCUGAGCUGUGUGCCACAUCGCUAUGCCCAGGAGGUGAGCCGGCUCUGCCUGCUGUCUGCGGGCACCUACAGGGUCGUGCCCUCCACCUACUGGCCUGACACCGAGGGCUCCUUCAUGGUGACCAUAGCAACCAGAGUGGACAGGUGCGGCUCUGGGCCUUGGGAUGACCAGCAGGUGUUCUUGGCCCUGAGCACUCAGCAGCCUUCCCCGUCUGGUUCUCUGCUGACCCAAGGCAUGAAUGGGCCUGCUUGCCUGGCUGAGCUGGGAGGAGGGUCUGGUGAGAGGCCAGCCGGGAGCAGGUGGCCCCCGGUGAGCUGCCCUCUCUCCACAGGCGGUCCAUUCACAGCCAGGAGAUGCUGGGCCAGGUCCUCCAGGAGGUGCGUGCAGCCCCUGCCUGCAGCCCCCAGCAGCCUUGCAUCCCAGUGCCUGAGGCCCCUCCCAGCUGCCUCACUCAGUGGCCUCUGCUACCCUGAGUCACAGGGCAGAGCUUGCAGGGACUUGGGGGCUGGGCUGUCAC
Molecule: long non-coding RNA, 1566 nt
Filed under: Marmota monax (woodchuck)
Lineage: Eukaryota; Metazoa; Chordata; Mammalia; Rodentia; Sciuridae
Source: RNAcentral